UUUAAUAAGAAAUUCUGUCAAAAAUGGACCAAUGCUCUUACACUAGGAUAAUAUAUAUUGAAAUUUCAACAGUAAGAUUACAACUCAUUUCCGCUGCAUACAGAACGCCAGGAAGUAAAUAUUUCAGCUCAUUGUUAACCACCACAGUAUCUUCAGUAAAAUCUAAAGAUUCUCAAAUAUCAAGGACGAUAAUGUCAUGUCAAGGUCGUCUUUAACUCGAGUAAGACCCAGCAACAGCUGAAGCAGCAAGGGAGGCCAUAGUCACAUUCGCCCGCGUCCCCAUUACUAAAAAGAGGAAAAAGAUCAAGAAACUGCAACGAGCAGAAGCGCAAACCUGCCGGACGAGAGGGACGGUGGGAGCGAGGAAGAUGCAGAUGCUCUUGCUCGGCUUUCGGAUG
RNAcentral lists this long non-coding RNA (398 nucleotides) under Musa acuminata (dwarf banana). RNAcentral's name for it is "long non-coding RNA (MACU_LNC005428)". Lineage: Eukaryota; Viridiplantae; Streptophyta; Magnoliopsida; Zingiberales; Musaceae. The record is from RNAcentral.